CGCACGGGUGAGUAACACGUAUCCAACCUGCCGUCUACUCUUGGCCAGCCUUCUGAAAGGAAGAUUAAUCCAGGAUGGCAUCAUGAGUUCACAUGUCCGCAUGAUUAAAGGUAUUUUCCGGUAGACGAUGGGGAUGCGUCCCAUUAGAUAGUAGGCGGGGUAACGGCCCACCUAGUCAACGAUGGAUAGGGGUUCUGAGAGGAAGGUCCCCCACAUUGGAACUGAGACACGGUCCAA
RNAcentral lists this ribosomal RNA (237 nucleotides) under uncultured bacterium. RNAcentral's name for it is "partial 16S ribosomal RNA". It matches the Rfam family "Bacterial small subunit ribosomal RNA", at positions 99 to 334 of the family's 1533-position model. The record is from RNAcentral.